RNAcentral lists this ribosomal RNA (628 nucleotides) under uncultured Russulaceae. Its description in RNAcentral is "LSU rRNA". It matches the Rfam family "Eukaryotic large subunit ribosomal RNA", at positions 47 to 649 of the family's 3401-position model. The record is from RNAcentral. Lineage: Eukaryota; Fungi; Basidiomycota; Agaricomycetes; Russulales; Russulaceae.
UAAGCGGAGGAAAAGAAACUAACAAGGAUUCCCCUAGUNACUGCGAGUGAAGCGGGAAAAGCUCAAAUUUAAAAUCUGGUGGUCUUUGGCCAUCCGAGUUGUAAUUUAGAGAAGCGUCCUCCGCGCUGGACCGUGCACAAGUCUCCUGGAAUGGAGCGUCAUAGAGGGUGAGAAUCCCGUCUUUGGCAUGGACACACCAGGGCUUUUGUGAUGCGCUCUCGAAGAGUCGAGUUGUUUGGGAAUGCAGCUCAAAAUGGGUGGUGAACUCCAUCUAAAGCUAAAUAUUGGCGAGAGACCGAUAGCGAACAAGUACCGUGAGGGAAAGAUGAAAAGCACUUUGGAAAGAGAGUGAAACAGUACGUGAAAUUGUUGAAAGGGAAACGCUUGAAGUCAGUCACGUCGACCGAGACUCAGCCUUGCCUCGGCUUGGUGUACUUCUCGGCUGACGGGUCAGCAUCAAUUUUGCCCCUUGGAUAAUGGCGAGGGAAAUGUGACACCUUUAUGGUGUGUUAUAGUCUCUCGUCGCAUGCAAGGGUUGGGAUUGAGGAACUCAGCACGCGCCCUUUGGGUGUCGNNGCUUUGCCCACGAUACGUGCUUAGGAUGUUGGCAUAAUGGCUUUAAACGACC